CCUACGGGAGGCAGCAGUAGGGAAUUUUCGGCAAUGGGCGGAACCCUGACCGAGCAACGCCGCGUGAACGAAGAAGUUAUUCGUAAUGUAAAAUUCUUUUAACAAGGAAGAAAGUGAAAUUAGGCGAUACCUUACGAAUAGUCUCCGACUAAAUACGAGCCAGCAGCCGCGUUAAUACGUAGGGGGCGAGCGUUAUCCGGAUUGCUGGGGCGUAAGGGGUGCGUAGAUGGCAUAGUAAGUCUUUGGUAAAAAUGCUGGGCUAAACCCAGGAGGGCAAAAGAUACUGCAAAGCUAGAGUAUGACAGAGGCAAGUGGAAUGACAUGUGUAGCGGUAAAAUGCGUAAAGAUAUGUAAGAACACCAGUGGCGAAGGCGGCUUGCUGGGUCGAUACUGACACUGAGGCACGAAAGCGUGGGGAGCAAACAGGAUUAGAUACCCCUGUAGUC
This 446-nucleotide ribosomal RNA is filed under the name uncultured bacterium. RNAcentral describes it as "partial 16S ribosomal RNA". It matches the Rfam family "Bacterial small subunit ribosomal RNA", at positions 338 to 795 of the family's 1533-position model. The record is from RNAcentral.